AUGAUGCUUCUGAGGUACAGUCCAGUGCAAAAAAUUUUUCACCUAGGUCAAAGUAGUUCGGCUUCCUUACAAUACUUUAAUCCAAUGAGAUUGCUUUAUUCAGGUGUUCAGUCGAACACGCUUACCAGGGACGAUUCCAUUCCGUUUUAUCUUAGCAACGGGGGUAUGCAAGGUUUAUGUCACGUGCUCAACUGUGGUUGUCAUUAACAGCAUUUUGACUGUUCUUUUGAGAAUUUUUGUUUUAUUAAUAAUAAACUAAUCUAUUUUGUUACUAAUGUAACGUAAAUGGUGCACAGUAUCGAUAUAAUUAUACGCGUAAUCAAGAGAUAAGUUGAUGCAGCGCUCGCUAACUUAUACUGAGGCAGUGAUUUACAAUUGUAAUU
This 383-nucleotide long non-coding RNA is filed under the name Androctonus crassicauda. Lineage: Eukaryota; Metazoa; Arthropoda; Arachnida; Scorpiones; Buthidae. The record is from RNAcentral.